RNAcentral lists this long non-coding RNA (1402 nucleotides) under Salmo salar (Atlantic salmon). Its description in RNAcentral is "lncRNA (ENSSSAG00000095022.1)". Lineage: Eukaryota; Metazoa; Chordata; Actinopteri; Salmoniformes; Salmonidae. The record is from RNAcentral.
UGGUAGUAGAGUAGAGGUAGAUGGUAGAUGAGGAAGAUGGUAGUAGAGUAGAGGUAGAUGGUAGUAGAGGAAGAUGGUAGUAGAGUAGAGGUAGAUGGUAGUAGAGUAGAGGUAGAUGGUAGUAGAGGUAGAUGGUAGUAGAGUAGAGGUAGAUGGUAGUAGAGGUAGAUGGUAGUAGAGUAGAGGUAGAUGGUAGUAGAGGUAGAUGGUAGUAGAGGUAGAUGGUAGUAGAGGUAGAUGGUAGUAGAGGUAGAUGGUAGUAGAGGGAAGAUGGUAGUAGAGUAGAGGUAGAUGGUAGUAGAGUAGAGGUAGAUGGUAGUAGAGGUAGAUGGUAGUAGAGGUAGAUGGUAGUAGAGUAGAGGUAGAUGGUAGUAGAGUAGAGGUAGAUGGUAGUAGAGGUAGAUGGUAGUAGAGGUAGAUGGUAGUAGAGUAGAGGUAGAUGGUAGUAGGGUAGAGGUAGAUGGUAGUAGAGUAGAGGUAGAUGGUAGUAGAGUAGAGGUAGAUGGUAGUAGAGUAGAGGUAGAUGGUAGUAGAGGUAGAUUAUAGUAGAGUAGAGGUAGAUGGUAGUAGAUGGUAGUAGAGUAGAGUUAGAUGGUAGUAGAGUAGAGGUAGAUGGUAGUAGAGGUAGAUGGUAGUAGAGUAGAGGUAGAUGGUAGUAGAUGGUAGUAGAGUAGAGUUAGAUGGUAGUAGAGUAGAGGUAGAUGGUAGUAGAGGUAGAUGGUAGUAGAUGGUAGUAGAGGUAGAUGGUAGUAGAGGUAGAUGGUAGUAGAGGUAGAUGGUAAUAGAGGUAGAUGGUAGUAGAGGUAGAUGGUAAUAGAGUUAGAUGGUAGUAGAGGUAGAUGGUAGUAGAGGUAGAUGGUAGUAGAGGUAGAUGGUAGUAGAGUAGAGGUAGAUGGUAGUAGAGUAGAGGUAGAUGGUAGUAGAGUAGAGGUAGAUGGUAGUAGAGUAGAGGUAGAAUAUUAUUCUCGCAUGUAAAUUAGGUCAAAUUUAAUGAAAAGCGUUUUUGAAAAGGCCAAUUAUAAUGUUCAUCAUGUGUGGAAAUCCUAAAAACGCCUCUGCUCAACUUUAGCCUAAUGCCUCAUCGCAAAUGUUAUUAUGUCUUUAUUAUAAAGGAUAUUUCUCUUCCACAGUAAAUUUACAACGCAUCAAAUUGCCUCACAGUACACUGAUUUAUUUACAGAAAAUGAUGGUGCCCGGGAAUUGUGUGUUUGCUGGGGGGGGGGGGCUAUAAUAAAACAGCCCCGGAUUUCUUCAUCUGGUCCUGACCUUCACCGGUAUCAUGUUUAGCUGAUCUGACAUCAUUCAGGUCAAUAAAGGUGACGUCAUUAAUAGAGCAUUUUGCAAAGUUGUCAUACAACAUCAGCACAAUGAACAAAAAGACUAGUUAACCCUAUCUUGGUGU